Molecule: ribosomal RNA, 488 nt
Filed under: uncultured bacterium
Lineage: Bacteria
Description: partial 16S ribosomal RNA
Rfam family: Bacterial small subunit ribosomal RNA
Source: RNAcentral
AAUGAACGUUGGCGGCGUGGAUUAGGCAUGCAAGUCGGACGUCCCCUUCGGGGGACGUGGCGCAAGGGUGAGUAAGGCGACGGCAACCAACCCCCCGGACGGCCAUAACCGCGGGAAACCGCGGCUAAUAGCCGGCGACGUGGGCGCCCGGCAUCGGGCGGCCACCAAAGGGUGCGACUCCGCCGGGGGACGGGCCGUCGUGGUAUCAGCUGGUUGGUGGGGUAGCGGCCCACCAAGGCUGCGACGCCUACCGGGCGUGCGAGCGUGGCCCGGCACACUGGGACUGAGACACUGCCCAGACACCUACGGGUGGCUGCAGUCGAGAAUCUUCGGCAAUGGGCGCAAGCCUGACCGAGCGACGCCGCGUGGGGGACGAAGGCCUUCGGGUUGUAAACCCCUGUCGAGGGUGAGCAAGGCGCCGCGCAGAGCGGUGCUUGAGCGACCCCUGGAGGAAGCACGGGCUAAGUUCGUGCCAGCCGCCGCAGUAA